This is an unclassified non-coding RNA of Pongo abelii (Sumatran orangutan), 147 nucleotides long. It matches the Rfam family "Metazoan signal recognition particle RNA". From Rfam's summary of the family: The signal recognition particle (SRP) is a universally conserved ribonucleoprotein. It is involved in the co-translational targeting of proteins to membranes. The eukaryotic SRP consists of a 300-nucleotide 7S RNA and six proteins: SRPs 72, 68, 54, 19, 14, and 9. Lineage: Eukaryota; Metazoa; Chordata; Mammalia; Primates; Hominidae. The record is from Ensembl.
GCCAGGCAUGGUGGCGGGUGCCUGUAAUCCCAGCUACUCAGGAGGCUGAGGCAGGAGAAUUGCUUGAACCCGGGAGGUGGAGGUGCAGUGAGCCAAGAUUGCGUCACUGCACUCCAGCCUGGGUGACAGAGUGAGACUCCGUCUCAA